GGGCCUGUAGCUCAGCCUGGAUAGAGCGGCAGCCUUCUAAGCUGAAGGUCGAGGGUUCGAAUCCCUUCAGGCCCG
This 75-nucleotide transfer RNA is filed under the name Candidatus Woesearchaeota archaeon ex4484_78. Its description in RNAcentral is "tRNA-Arg". It matches the Rfam family "tRNA". Rfam says of the family: Transfer RNA (tRNA) molecules are approximately 80 nucleotides in length. Their secondary structure includes four short double-helical elements and three loops (D, anti-codon, and T loops). The record is from RNAcentral. RNAcentral also lists the same sequence under 1 other name. Lineage: Archaea; Nanobdellati; Candidatus Woesearchaeota.